This is a long non-coding RNA of Gossypium arboreum, 308 nucleotides long. RefSeq lists it as uncharacterized. The transcript is spliced from 2 exons. Lineage: Eukaryota; Viridiplantae; Streptophyta; Magnoliopsida; Malvales; Malvaceae. The record is from RefSeq and is a predicted model, not a curated record.
CAUGCUUCAUUGUACAAGCUCCACUCUUGGAGAGAUUGGUUCUUAGUUACGUGGAAAUCAUAUGGAAAACUAAUAUGUCUGCAUUGAAUGAAGAUUGUAUAGUAGUUGGGAAUCAUGAAAAGGUAUUUCAAGGUGGGCACUCAUUCUCAAGGAUAAAAGAAUUGUGCUUGGUGAAUUUAUUUGAAAUGCAGAUUAUAUGGAACGAUUUUGCUCAAGUUGUAACCCUUGAGAACCUUACAACACUACUUUUGAUAGAUUGCAAGAAGUUAAGAUAUAUAUUUUCACCUACGACGGCUCGUAGUUUAUCA